Molecule: microRNA precursor, 100 nt
Filed under: Marmota monax (woodchuck)
Lineage: Eukaryota; Metazoa; Chordata; Mammalia; Rodentia; Sciuridae
Source: RNAcentral
AUAAAUGACCCAGUCUGUGGUGUUCUGUUACAGCAGCCUGAACUAAGGUAGUGUCACAGUCCAUUUUGUGCUGCUGUAGCAGAAUACCACAGACUGGGUC